This 10329-nucleotide long non-coding RNA is filed under the name Capsicum annuum. RNAcentral describes it as "long non-coding RNA (CANN_LNC016990)". The record is from RNAcentral. Lineage: Eukaryota; Viridiplantae; Streptophyta; Magnoliopsida; Solanales; Solanaceae.
UUGGAUAGAAGGGUUCAUACAGAUAGAAAAUACAUAGGGUCAUAAUUCAUAACAAAAUAAAAAGAGUAAAGUAAUUAAAUACAAUAGUACAUAUUAUUAAAAAGCUACUAUUAGUAAGCACCCUCUCCGUUUACUUUGGCGGAAUAGCUUGAAAGGUCGUUGUAUUUAUAUUCAUUUGUCAGCUAGACCCUCCUUACAUAUGCUUGUCCCUUUAUCAACUGAACGCUUCAACAAAUAUAAGUAUAUAAAUAAAUUUGUCAAGUUAUUUCAGCUUUUAUUUUACUUGAUCUUUAUUUAUAAUUUCUAAUCUAUAAUUUAUAUCUAUAAUAUAUUAAAAGUGUAAAGACUAAUUCAAACUUUUUAUCCUUCAUUAAAAGUCUCCUCAAUAGACAAAAUCGUCAUUUCAUUAUUUUUCCUCAAAUUAUUUUUAAUUUUAUUAGGUUAAUUAAUUUAAUUUAUGAGUCCUUUUAAAUGUAGGAUUUAUUAGGAAUAGAAUUAGUUUAGAUAUAAAAUUUAUGUAAUAUUCUUCAAUUUAGGUAAAUCUAUUUUCCUUUUCUAUUUUAACAAGGAUGUGGUAAAGACGUAUUAGAUUUUUCUUCUUUUUUUNNNNNNNNNNNNNNNNNNNNNNNNNNNNNNNNNNNNNNNNUAAUUAGUUAGUUUUUUUUUGGGGGAGGGGGGGAGGGGGGCUGGGGUUUCUUUUACUUACUUUAUAACAUUAAUUCCUUCCGUAAUUAGUUGAAUUUUUUUUCUUUGUUUUGUUUAUUAUAGGUUCUUUUACUUAUUUUAUUAUUUGCUUUUAUAUUUUAAUAUGAAUGUAUUUUUUUAUUUUAGCAAUCGACUUCCAAUUAUGGUAUUCUAUUUUGGAAUGAAUUCUAUAUAUGAUGCAAUUUAUAUAUGUCCUUUUUCAUAAAUUUUUGCAAUAUAUUGUUUAAAUUUUGUUUGUAUUUAUUUUUGGUUCUUAAUGUAUGUACUUUGCAUACAAAUUUGUAAUUUAAUUAUAUUGUAAAGAUUAUGUUUAAUCGUAUUGUUCUGAUAAUACGAUCAUAUUAUAUGUUUUCUUAUGUUGUCAUCUGAUGCUUUUUUUUUUUAUGUUUAAUACAGGUGGUAGAUAGAAUAUUUGGUUGGGCUUUGGCAAAAUUUUAAUGUAAAGGCAAAGUUUAAUCGUGUGAAUAUUAUAAUUCAAAAAAUACCUCCUAAUUGAGUCAUUGUAUAAAAAUAAUGGCAAAAAAAGGUUGAUUGUAUGUUAGUGUAUAUCCUUAAUGAAUUCAACAAAUUGAUGCGACGGUUUGAUGGAUAACUUGUGUCUAUUAUAGGUUCGGCUAACACUCUGUCUUUAUAUACCGUUGAUGAAUUCAACCAUUUAACAUUUCUUAUUUGAAUUGAGUUAUAGUGUUAUAUGAAUUUGACCAAUUUUUAGUUUCUCACGUUUUUUUUUUACUUGUGCAUAUUUUCGUGCAUUCAAAAAUAAUUCCAUCCACUUUGGUUUAAGAAUAUUUUUUUGUUGUCAUUUUGUUCAUUUAUUGUUUUGAAAGUAUAAUUAUAUAUAUGCAACAAUCAAAGUAGCUAAUUUAUCCUCUCUCUAUAUAUAAUUGACUAACGUGAUAUACACGUGCGGAACCCGUACACUUGACUAGUAUAUAUAUAUGUGUGUUACUUAUCAAUUUUAGCAAAUCAAGAUAGUUUAUUAUUUAUUUAUUUUAAUAUUUUUAGUAUUAAAUAACUAUAUAAAGUAGUAAUUGUUGUAUUUAGAGCUGCAAAGUAUCAUUAAUAAGAUUAAUUUGAUAAAAAUAUAUUCCUAAUACUGCCUCCAUUCAUAAUUAUUUAUCACUUAUUUUAAUUAUAUUUUCACUUUUACUUAUUAUUUUUGACAUAUCAGGAAAAAAUUAUUUUUUUUAUUUGAUUUUAAUAUUAAUUAUUUAUUCUCUAAAUUAUUUUUAAAAUAAAAUAAUAUCCAUCAAUUAAUAUAAAUACUGUGGUAGAAAAUAAUUACUUUUAUAAAUAUAUCAAAUUAAAAUAUGACAAAAUAAAAAUAAAUGAAGAAAAUAAAAAUUUUCUUAAAUAAUGAUUCAGGUCAUUGGGGUCAAGCACUAUAAAGCAUAGGGGUAUUAAACCUAGUACUCAAGUCAUUGCUUCUUUGUAGUCGUUUGACCAUAAGAGGUUUUUACUUUUUUUUUGGAAAAAUUAUUUCACUUUAAUGAAAAUAGUAAAAAUUGUAAGUGUUUGUCCAUGAGAAUCUCAAAUAUAAUUGUGAAAUUGUACUUGAAAAAGUGAAAAUAAGUUUUACUUGUUUUUAUUUUUUUCACUCAUACUUCUCUCAUAAAAUUUUAAAAAUAACCUUAAUUUAUAUUAAUGCGAGACAUAACUUCAAAUUCAAUUUUAACUCCAACUCAACAAAUUAUAAUUGAAUUCAUGGCCAAACGGGGCCUUAUUUAAGACGAUUCCUUUUGCUAACGACAAAGAUAACAAUCUCAAGUUCCUUCCCUAGAAAGUCACAAGACAAGAUUUGGAGCAAAAAGUCAAAUCCAAAAAAAAAAGUACGUACACAUCAUAAUUAUUGAGGAAUGAGAGGGAUGGAUUGAAUUUCUUUUAUAAUUUUCUUUAGUAGGGAAUAUUUUAACUAGCUAUGUGUGCCUAUAUAUAUUUAUAUCCAAUGCAAACGCAAAUUUGUAGGAUUAAGUAGGCGUUAUGGACAUAUAAUUUUAUUUGAGAAAUUUAAAAUUAUUAGAUGAAAUCAGUGUUGGGUAUGUAAUUUUAUAUUAUGAGAUAAAAACUUAAAUUUUUUAAAAAAUUUAAUUUGAAAUAUCACAUCAUAAUUUGAGAUUUUUUACAAUAAAAAAAUUGAUCCAUGGGUUUAUAUUUUAUAAGAGAAAAACCCAUCACUUAUAUCUACCAAUCAUUUAUUUUAUCUGUAAAUAAACUUUAUAGUUCAUAUUAUUACUUUUUAUACUAUUUGUAUCUCAUAUAACCAUUACACUCACUAACAUAUAAAAUUUAUUAUUAUUUCAACCCAACUCCUACAUUAUCAUUAUUAUUCAUUAAAUUCAUUAUUAUUGACCAACAAACAGUUUAAAGUAACAAAGUUAGUUUAUUUUUUUGAUUAUUCGAUCGAGAAGUGCAAGCUCAAUAUAAAGAGAUUGUUUGUAUUAUGUGAGAAGAUAAUGGUAAAGAGUAAUAUACUACAAUUCAUAUUCCGUUUUACCUUUUUUUCAUUGAAUUAACUUGUGUGAUUAGUAAAUAUUGUAUUUUUAGAAUAUUUUUUGUAGGGUAUCAUACAUACUUUCGUCAUAAAUUUUUGCUUAUUUGACAAAAUUGUAUAUAGAAUUGGGGCCAAUUUUAAUAAUUUUAACCACUUAAGGGAAUUUCAUGUUUAUAAAAAAAUAUACAAUAUCAAAAAUUUAAAUUAUGUGUCUAAAUAAAACUUUAACUUCAUCUCAUGAUUUCAAAUCGUGAAUUCAUCUAGUACAAUCAAACGAGCCCCAAGUGAAUUUUAAAAGCUGGAUAAUUAUUAAAUUAACAAAAACGCCACUAAAUUAAUGGACGCCAGGAGUACUGAUUAUUCACUAGUGAAGAACAACGAAUUAAUAAUGUCAAAAUGCAUACCCUAGAAAGUCAACAUGAUCAUGUUACAUACUUCCUAAGUAAAUAAUUAUUUGUCUCAAAUUGAGAUGACACAUUAAUUAAGAAAAAUAAUUAAUAACAUGCCUAGUUUACCGUUGUACCCCUAUUAAAUGAUGUUUUACAUUUUAAUUUGAAAAAAAAAGUAAUUAAUGCAAAGGUUAAACAUGAAAAAAAAUUAUUUCUUCUUGAUUAAUGAAAAAAGACAAGUAAAAUGAAAAAUUAAAUUAAAAAAUUUAGACGAAGGGAGUAUAAAUUUUCUAAAAAAUAAAAAAAUGGGGCAGGAAAUUAUAAAAUAAAAAAUCAAAUUCGCACCAACAAAAUAAAAAUUCAAAUAAUCAACUAAUUAAGCUACUAAAAUCUUCCACCAUUAUCAUAUGACCCUGUUUUUUGGGUCAAAAAUUGUUUGGUGUUAAAGUACAAAUUUGGAAACCAAUUUAAGAACUAAUUUGUGAAAUUUUCGGCACUUAACUAACUGAUGAUUUGACAUUUUAGUUCACGAGGUCCCACGAGGAUUUGAUUAAUCUCAACACGAAAAAUAUAUUUUAUCCAAUCACUAUAUAUAUAUAUAUAUAUAUAUAUAUAUAUGAGGGAUAGAACCAGGGUUGAGGGGCCUUAUUCAAAUUUCAAACAUCUUUCAACUGAAAAUUAUGCUAUGUUUAUACAACUUUAAGUUAAAUUUAAUUUUUUACUAUCUAAUUUUCAAAUAAAAUGAAAAAUUAUUUGAAGAAAAAGUGCAUACGAGUACUAAUUUUAUAGCCGAAUACUGUUCUUUUAAGUACCACUAGUUAUACUGCACAAUUACAAAAUAUAAAUCUCUUAAAAAGCUCAAUGACAUUCUUAUCUCAUAUAGUGUCAAUGUGUGAGUCCGAAGCUUCAAGGAUAAUUUUUUUCAUCAAAAAUUUCAAGAAGACAAUUAAAAUUUGAAACAAACUAAAAGGGCAAAAGCUUGGGACAACCCACGUCUUAGUGCAUCCUUAUGUCAUUUGCGAGCUUUUUUUUUAAAUUAUUUUUCUUUAUCAAGGCGUGGGUUAUCCCAUGGUUUUGUCCAUUUGAUUUUUUUUCAAAUUUUAACUGUCCCUUCAAAAUUUUUGGUGGAAAAAAGUUAUUCUUUCGACUCCGGAUUCGUCAUGUGUGAUGUAACAUUCGAUAGAUGUCCACAUCAAAAUUGUCAUAAAGCUGUUAUUUUACGAAGUCAUUUCAUAGUGGAGGAAAUUCUCCAACUUUCCUACUUCAUCAAGUACGUUGUCAAACACCUCUUUAUUUUAGUUAACAUAUUAGGUACCAAUAAUUGCUUAUAUAGGCCAUAUAAAUAUUCAGUAAAAAGAAUUCACGAAGUGUUCAUACAGCUGCAAAUACAUAGCCAAAGUUAUUUAAAAAUAUUUUUUUUUUUCUAAAAUAGGUCAUAAGUUCAUAUGAUUUGGAGCAAACACAUUAUCAAGGAGUGUGGUGGGAUGAUUGAAUUUCUUUUAUAAACAAUAUUUAAUGAAUCAAUUUUGUCUUAGGAAAUAGUCAUUAUAUAGAAUUUUAAAUUUUGCAUGUGAAAUUUUAAAAUAUUAUAAGGAAACUUGAAAAUUUUAUAUGAAAUUUCACCUGUAGAAUUUUUAGAAUUUAAUGUUAGCGACUAUUUUCUAAUUACGGUUAUUAAGAAGUCCCUAUUUGUAAUUUUCCGCCAUAUUCCAUCAAACAUAUAUAUAUAUAAAUAUGUCUGUUUUUUUUUUCUAUAUUAAAGUCCUGGGGGAUUGCUUUAAAGUGUUCAAUGAGAAGUCGAUUAAUCGAAAAAUUUAAAAAAUCGACCGAAAUGUUUUUUUAUGCGAUGUAAUAGUUGAAGAAAAGUGACCAUUUUAUAACAAAUUAUAAAAUAAUAAUUUUACUAUAUAAUUUACCAUUAUUGAGUGGAUAUUUGAAACAAUCAACUUCUUUUAGUUUCAUAGGAAUUUAUUUCCAUUAUCUUAUGCCAUAGUUAUUCCACCACUUGAAGAUGUGUUUCAUAUCUUGAAGAUAACAUAAUUAAUUAACAAAUCAUCAGUAUCAUCGCCAUCAUAUUAAAAUAUGUAAAUCAUUUAAAAUCAAAUAUAUAUUGGAAGGAUCUUCCCAAUUUUAUUGGUCACACCUCAUUGUCAAUGUCAAUUAAGGUUUAUAGAUUAAUUUACAAUUUUUGACAAUCUUAUUCCAAAAUGACCUAAUUAUAUGAUCUCGUACUUUUCAGUUCUAAAGUAUUCGAUUAAAGAACUUUGCAGUCUGCAGAAGAGAUUGAAAAACAUUUAUUUAUUUAUUUGUAAAAACUGUUUUUCAACCAAACACAAAGUUAGUUUAAAAUUUUUAUAUCUUGGUGUUUAAUUGGUUGAAAUAUAGUUCUUGCAAGUAAAAAUUGUUGCAAGGCAUUUCAAGUAAAUGAAAAUUUGGUUAACAAGUCCAAACUUUCUAUUUAUUUCAUGAUCAAUUAAUAACACGCGAGAAAUUUUACGAAUCACGCAUUAAUACUUUUUACUUUGUAUUAAAAUCCUAAUUCUCAUAAAACUUUGAGGAAAAAGAGAGAGAGGAAAAAACCAUUCUUCUUUGUUUACAAUACAAAUUAUAAGUCUUCACUGGAAAAUAUUGCUCAAAGGGAUUAUCAUCAUCAUUCAAAAAAAAAAAGGGGACGAGGUGUUGUUUCUCCUAUCAUUUGGUAUUUGGUUAGAAUUAUGCGGGUAUUAGUAAUAUAUAAAUUAGUUAUGAAUGAAUUUAUAUACUAUUAUUUUAAUAAGGGUUCGAAUAUUCACGUAUAAGUUAUACCUGUAGAUGUUAUUUCACCUUUGAUCCUAUAAAGUAAUACAAAAAUUUUCUCAUAACUUAUUCUAUUAUGUAGGUUUCUAAGUUACUAAUCAAAUAUCAUAUUUAAUUAAUACAUGAAUAACUUAUAUGAUCCUAACGAGUUAUCAAAUGUAUGAUAUUAUUUAUGUAACAUUUAAUAUUUGUAUAACUCACCUCCAAAUCAGCUAUCAAAAAGAAUAAUUUACUCAAAAUAGCAAUUCAAAACUAUAAUUUCCUAUUACAACUAAUUAUUUUUCACAUGUUAGCUAUUUUUAUAAUAAAAACUAAUUAGUUGAUUUUCACAUGUACUCAACUUUAAUUUGAUUAAUAAUUGAUUAAAAAAAAAUUAAUUAGUUGAAGCAAUGAUCUUAUGAGCUGUAGUCCAUGGAUACUUCUUUGUUUGUACUGUUGUAUCAAAAAUACCCUUUUUCUUAUUUUUCGUAGAGGACAAUAUGCAUUUCGAACUUCUAUAAAUUAUUUAUUUGUCUUGUGCUUGUUUCAGUAUCUGUACGAUCUAGAUGUCCAAUGGACCCCCUCCCCCAUUCCUACUCAAUUAUUCAAAUUUUACCAAUUUGCAUUAUGAUAGUAGUUGUAUAGUUGAAAUUUUCUAUUGUAGAUGUAUUUUCGAUUCUUUACUCUCUUUUCUUUAAUUCCUAACGUAAUAAAAUAAUUCUAUAAAAGACCAUGUGGAUUUUAAUGUUUUACAUGACUUUAUUUCCUAAUGUAUACCCCCCUUCCACCCCCUCUACUUUUUAAAGUUACUAGAUGAGUUUUGGUUGUACUUAGUACGGGCCCAACAUGAUAACUUAGUUUCAAUAAAUUUUUCUCAAUAAUUUAUUGUGAAAGAAACAACAUUUUUCUAAUCGAACACCGUGCUCCAAAUUUAAAGUAUUAGGUAUAAAACUUUAUAGCUUAAUUGAAACUGAGAUAAAUAAAAAUGAAGCAUAACUACAGCUGAAGUACAUUAGACACACACUUUCAUUUUGAAGAGCCUUUUAUGAAAUAUUUUUUAUUCUCAGAGUAUACAUGUUCAUUCUAUAUAGGUUUACAAUUUUUUGACUUGUGAAGGAAGUGGAGCAACUGGAUAAAAAAUGGGAAAAGGACAUUGUUGUAUUGCAAGGUCGGACCUAAGCUGAUUGUCUUUUUUGUAAACUUGCAUAAUAUAAAUUUGACCUUUCAUCCAAUAACAUCUUAGCUUUUAGCACAAGUGAAUUCAAUGAUAAAGAAAAAGCGACUUAAUUAUUGAACAUUUGCUUCAACAACAGUAAGUAUGUCUAUAAAAAAGGGUGCUUUUCAUGUUGUACAUACUAUGAGGCAACAAUGAAAUCAAAAUCAAAAUGGAAAAGCUUCAACAAUAAUAUUUACAAUAAAUAAUAAUAGAAGGGAGAGUCGAUUAACUUUUCACAGUGCUUUCUAAAUUAGCUUAAGUUAAUGAAAAAGUACAAACACAAUAAAUUAUUAAAUCUUUAUUUUAGUAGGUUCAAUAAUUAAUAUCAGUUCAAGCUGCAUUGUGACCACAUUACAAUCAUUCCAUUGUGUAAUCGUACUUAUGAAAAACUACAGAAUCUCAGAAUAAGAAUAUUUAAGUUUCAUUUGAAAUGAAGGGAUAAUCUGAAACACUUAUGGUCCUUUGUUAUUUGUAUUAUCAUUUAUCAAUGUAGUGCCAAUAUGUUAGUUUGUGUAAUUAUACUUAAUUAUUAUUGAAAAUAUAACAACACUACCAAUUUUGUCAAAUCUGUAAUUUGAUAACUAAAGAAAAGGAAUGAUUACAAUUAUAUAGAUUAGAUCAAAGAAAAAUAAAUUAACCGAUAAAGCUAUUAUAUCUGAGUAUUGAAAAACAUAAUUGUUCAAUUUUGCAGACAUAGAUUAAAAUAUAUCAAGAGAGGAUAUAACACAAAUGAUCUUCUGAAAAGGUGCAAAGGUAUGUUGAUAAUGAAUUCAUUUACAUUAUAAUGAAUUUAUAUUUUUUGUUAUACAUCUUUUCAGAGGUUAGUGUCAUAAGCUAUGAUAGUCUAGGGAUGAUGUAUAUUUUAGAUUUUAGAGCUGUAAAAUAAUAGAUUUUUUUAAAGUUAAACCUCAACCUUUCUCUAUAAAUUUUCAUUAAAAUGAAUAAAGGACUAUCAAGUCAUGAGAAAUAAGAAAAGAUACAUAUUUAGUGCCAUCAAUUCAAGUGUGAAUAAAAGCUCGCCGCUUUCAUAAAACUUUCGAUACAUUUCACUUAUAAAAUUGUUAUGUAGCCAUAUAAAUUCAAGGUAUGAUGAAGUAGUACAACACCACAAAAAUAACGCUGGACAGUUAACAUAGUUAUCUAUCAAGAAAAAGUAUAAGGUGAGCAAAAAACUAAGUCACAAGAAGUAUUGAAACUGUUAAUUAUCAAAUGUGAACAAGCGAAUUGUAAAUACAUAUGUUACCUAUGGGAGAUUUACAAGAGAGACAAUAUUUAUUUUCAAGAAUCCAGCUUUAACAAUUUUCUUGAGGAAAUGUACACCAAUAGCAGAUAACGCUACAAAGAUUAAUGAGAGACAAAGCUUAUAUUAUGUUCCAUCCCAUUUAACCUGCACAACACGAAAAUUAAAUGCAUCAAUGAUUGCCUAUUUAAGGUACUACAAUGUUAACAAUAUAUAACAGACCAAGACACAAUAAAAGAAAGCACACCUAUCAGUAACUCAUACCUCCAAGAAAAUAAUUAAUAAUAAGCUAAACAUAUAUUCUGAAUUAAAUUGAUUACUGGUGUCAAAUAAACACUAAGAAAAGAUAUAAACAUUUUUUUUCUAUGUAUUCAAUUCAGCUCAGUCAGUUACAGUAAUAAAGAUAAAGUUUAUAAAAUAUAAAAAUAAGAACGAUGUUUAGGAAAAUUUAUAGAAUUAAUGUACUACUUGGAUUGCUAAAUCAAAAAUUGCCCUUUCUAUUUUGCCCUUUCUCAAACAUACUUGAAUAUAAACUCAGAAAAAAUAGGAAGAACUUUAAAAAGGGAUCACAAAUAUUAAGAUAUUGACAAUAUCAUUCAACUUUAUAUUGGAUAAGAUAAAGUUCUAUUGGAUCAGUCUUAAUCCCUCGAGAUGGAGGGGCCAUAAGGAUGAAAAAAUUCUCCAUCAAACAGAGUAUACUACUCUUGCCAUAAAAUCAUGAUUUAACAAAACUCGAGCUUUGAAAGGAGAUUCUUUUAAGAAAUUCAUCAAACAUUGUGUCACAAGCUUCAAGUACUAUCACUCGUAUGCUAUUAAACAUAAUUUCAUUGGAAGUGAUUUUCUGAUAAUAAAGACUCAUUUAGUACAAGGAAUAAGGAAUGACUAAUUUCAAGAUUAAUCUUAGGAUGAACUAAUCCUUGUUUGGUUGAAAUAAAAUACAUAAAAAAAUUAUUUUAAAUUAGCUAUCGAUGAUUGUAAUAUUAUUUUUCAUCCCAAAAUAACAUAUUUCUCACCAAACGAUCCUAAGAGUUAAAAGAAAUUCAACAAAAAAAAAAGGUAAGAAGACCAAAUGUAAAGGAAACAAAAUUAAAAUUCAAAUAUAAGUUUAAACCAAUAUCUUAGACCAUAUUAUAGCAAAAAGUAUAUUUACAUGUCCCGCUUAUGAAGACAGAGAACAUGCAACAAAAAAGGAACAAAAAGACCAAAAGAAAACCCAAAAUAAUUAAAUAACAUUAGCAAUAGCAAAACAGAAUAACAGAAAAAACAAAUAAAACCAAAACCAACAGGCAUUAACCUAAACAUUGUUAUAUCAAAAGUAUUAUGGGGAGACUAAAGAGAGAAAUUAACACUGGGAGGAAAGAAGAGCAGAAGAGAGAAAAGAAAGAAAGAAUAAUUCGAAAGGUUAUGAGUCACUGACAGAGAGGAAAUAGAUUGAAGAGUAGCAAUUGAAAUUACUUUCUUGAAAGUUGAAGGACAAUUGAAGAUUAUUCUGGUUAGAAUAUGUAGUUGUUUC